UACGUAGGGUGCAGGCGUUAAUCGGAAUUACUGGGCGUAAAGCGUGCGCAGGCGGUUUCUUAAGUCAGAUGUGAAAGCCCCGGGCUUAACCUGGGAACUGCGUUUGAAACUGGGAGACUUGAGUGUGGCAGAGGGGGGUGGAAUUCCACGUGUAGCAGUGAAAUGCGUAGAUAUGUGGAGGAACACCGAUGGCGAAGGCAGCCCCCUGGGUUAACACUGACGCUCAUGCACGAAGGCCAGGGGAGCAAACGGG
This 253-nucleotide ribosomal RNA is filed under the name uncultured bacterium. Its description in RNAcentral is "partial 16S ribosomal RNA". It matches the Rfam family "Bacterial small subunit ribosomal RNA", at positions 524 to 776 of the family's 1533-position model. The record is from RNAcentral.